UGGGGAAUAUUGCACAAUGGGGGAAACCCUGAUGCAGCGACGCCGCGUGAGCGAAGAAGUAUUUCGGUAUGUAAAGCUCUAUCAGCAGGGAAGAAAAUGACGGUACCUGACUAAGAAGCCCCGGCUAACUACGUGCCAGCAGCCGCGGUAAUACGUAGGGGGCAAGCGUUAUCCGGAUUUACUGGGUGUAAAGGGAGCGUAGACGGAGCAGCAAGUCUGAUGUGAAAGGCAGGGGCUCAACCCUUGGACUGCAUUGGAAACUGUUGAUCUUGAGUACCGGAGGGGUAAGCGGAAUUCCUAGUGUAGCGGUGAAAUGCGUAGAUAUUAGGAGGAACACCAGUGGCGAAGGCGGCUUACUGGACGGUAACUGACGUUGAGGCUCGAAAGCGUGGGGAGCAAACAG
Molecule: ribosomal RNA, 403 nt
Filed under: uncultured bacterium
Lineage: Bacteria
Description: bacterial SSU rRNA
Rfam family: Bacterial small subunit ribosomal RNA
Source: RNAcentral